Molecule: non-coding RNA, 358 nt
Organism: Paramisgurnus dabryanus
Lineage: Eukaryota; Metazoa; Chordata; Actinopteri; Cypriniformes; Cobitidae
Source: RefSeq, a predicted model, not a curated record
UGCCUCCAGCUCCUUUUGUCUCAGUGAAAGUGUCAGUCGAAUGCAUCAGUGGGGUGAGGUGGGCAUACUGCUCAUCUGAGGGGAAUUCACUCUUCUUCAACUGGACUCUGAAUGGACAACCACUCGCACAAGAUAAUAAGACCACCAUUAAUCUGGAUGGGGAAACUUCUGGAAACCUCAUCUGCAGUGUGAAGAACCACAUCAGUCAUGCAGAAAAGAGCAUCACUGUAAACGAUUGUACUGGUUCAGUCUCUGGGACGUUUGUGAUAGUGUGGACCUUACAGAUGAUAAUUCUUCUGCUUCUGUUAGGAGGCUUUCACAUCUACAUCAGAAAGCGCACCAGCACACAAACACCAGG